Molecule: ribosomal RNA, 331 nt
Filed under: uncultured eukaryote
Lineage: Eukaryota
Description: partial 18S ribosomal RNA
Rfam family: Eukaryotic small subunit ribosomal RNA
Source: RNAcentral
CCCUUAGAUGUUCUGGGCCGCACACGCGCUACACUGGCAGGUUCAUCGAGCUUCAUGCCCUGAUCUGAGAAGAACGGGAAAUCUUUGAACACCUGCCGUGCUUGGGAUAGAUGUUUGCAAUUAUUCAUCUUCAACGAGGAUUGCCUUGUAAGCGCACGUCAUCAGCGUGCAUUGAAUACGACCCUGUAUUCUGUACACACCGCCCGUCGCUCCUACCGAUUGGAGUUUUCGGUGAAUUUACUGGAGAUCCCUUUUGAAGGUGGUUCGCCACUGGAAGAAGUAUUCAAAAGUAAAUGAAUCGAAUGCUUUAGAGGAAGGAGAAGUCGUAACA